UGGUGGAGUGAUUUGUCUGGUUAAUUCCGAUAACGAACGAGACCUUAACCUGCUAAAUAGUCAGGCCGGCUUUUGCUGGUCUCUGGCUUCUUAGAGGGACUGUCAGCGUCUAGCUGACGGAAGUUUGAGGCAAUAACA
This 138-nucleotide ribosomal RNA is filed under the name uncultured eukaryote. RNAcentral describes it as "partial 18S ribosomal RNA". It matches the Rfam family "Eukaryotic small subunit ribosomal RNA", at positions 1299 to 1458 of the family's 1831-position model. The record is from RNAcentral.